RNAcentral lists this ribosomal RNA (511 nucleotides) under uncultured bacterium. RNAcentral's name for it is "partial 16S ribosomal RNA". It matches the Rfam family "Bacterial small subunit ribosomal RNA", at positions 28 to 523 of the family's 1533-position model. The record is from RNAcentral.
GACGAACGCUGGCGGCGUGCCUAAUACAUGCAAGUCGAGCGAAUCAAUGGGAGCUUGCUCCCUGAGAUUAGCGGCGGACGGGUGAGUAACACGUGGGUAACCUGCCUGUAAGACUGGGAUAACUUCGGGAAACCGGAGCUAAUACCGGAUACGUUCUUUUUUCGCAUGAGGAGAGAUGGAAAGAUGGUUCUGCUAUCACUUACAGAUGGACCCGCGGCGCAUUAGCUAGUUGGUGAGGUAACGGCUAACCAAGGCGACGAUGCGUAGCCGACCUGGGAGGGUGAUCGGCCACACUGGGACUGAGACACGGCCCAGACGCCUACGGGAGGCAGCAGUAGGGAAUCUUCCGCAAUGGACGAAAGUCUGACGGAGCAACGCCGCGUGAGCGAAGAAGGCCUUCGGGUCGUAAAGCUCUGUUGUUAGGGAAGAACAAGUACGAGAGUAACUGCUCGUACCUUGACGGUACCUAACCAGAAAGCCACGGCUAACUACGUGCCAGCAGCCGCGGUAA